RNAcentral lists this long non-coding RNA (949 nucleotides) under Homo sapiens (human). RNAcentral's name for it is "non-protein coding NPSR1-AS1:12". The record is from RNAcentral. Lineage: Eukaryota; Metazoa; Chordata; Mammalia; Primates; Hominidae.
UCUAGGACUCAGAAAUAUAGAUGUUAGUAAGAGCAAACAGACAUAACAGAUAACACAUACAAAGUGCCUACCACAUGCUAACCACUGCUGCAGGCACUUUCUAUAGAAGAACUAAUUUAAUCAUCACCAUAACCCUAUGGGGUAGAUGAUAUUUUUACAACCUCCAUUUUACAGAUGAAGAAACUGAAGCAUAGACCUGCUUAUGUGAGAAGAAACGCAGGGAGACAGUUCAGUCACUGCAAUCUUCAUGCCCAUCAGUUUCUUGUGAGAAGAAAACAAGACUGGCAACGCCUGCUUCCUCCUCUGAGCUGUCAAGUAGGAAGUCCGGGCUGCUCUGCUAGAAAGAGAAGUCAUGUGCAGGAGCACUGAGGCAUCCCAGGUGUGACACUCUUCCACCUAGAGCAUUCCGUCUCUCAUCCUCUGCCAUGUAGCAAACUGCUAUGCAUCCUUCAGCUGCAAGGGAUUGAAUGCUAUCAACAACCAUACAAGUGGAGAAGCAGAUGCUUCCCUAGCUGAGCCUCAGGCUUUUUGAUGGAAUUGCUACAACUUGGUGCAUGCCUGCUCCUAAAAGAAAUACUCAGGAAUUGUCUCAUAAAGUCCUCACCUACUGGCAAAAACAAGAUGUUCUACUCCCAGGUUGACUUUUUCAAGCCCCAAGAUGUUGAGUCAGCCAUUCUCCAAGGAUCUCGAUUUCCUUUUAAUGGAAAAUAACAUUAAACACCAAAUAUAAGCCUCGCUGUCCCACAUGCGUAUUGGGGACAAGAUGAAACCUGCUUCCAGGCUACUUUGGCAGCAGAACUGAAAAAGGCUUUUUUUCCAGAUAUAUGAUUUCUCAUCGACAGGGUUGCACAGCCCUCUUUAUUGUUCGUGUAAAUGACACCCUUGGAUCUGAACAAUACACACCAGGACAAUUGUGUGCAACAGUUCUACAAACUGAUAUUUCUAAUUA